GAUGAACGCUGGCGGCGUGCCUAAUACAUGCAAGUCGAGCGAACGGACGAGAAGCUUGCUUCUCUGAUGUUAGCGGCGGACGGGUGGGUAACACGUGGAUAACCUACCUAUAAGACUGGGAUAACUUCGGGAAACCGGAGCUAAUACCGGAUAAUAUUUUGAACCGCAUGGUUCAAAAGUGAAAGACGGUCUUGCUGUCACUUAUAGAUGGAUCCGCGCUGCAUUAGCUAGUUGGUAAGGUAACGGCUUACCAAGGCAACGAUGCAUAGCCGACCUGAGAGGGUGAUAGGCCACACUGGAACUGAGACACGGUCCAGACUACUACGGGAGGCAGCAGUAGGGAAUCUUACGCAAUGGGCGAAAGCCUGACGGAGCAACGCCGCGUGAGUGAUGAAGGUCUUCGGAUCGUAAAAAUCUGUUAUUAGGGAAGAACAUAUGUGUAAGUAAAUGUGCACAUCUUGACGGUACCUAAUCAGAAAGCAACGGCUAACUACGUG
This 497-nucleotide ribosomal RNA is filed under the name uncultured bacterium. Its description in RNAcentral is "partial 16S ribosomal RNA". It matches the Rfam family "Bacterial small subunit ribosomal RNA", at positions 28 to 507 of the family's 1533-position model. The record is from RNAcentral.